UGGGGAAUAUUGCACAAUGGGCGCAAGCCUGAUGCAGCCAUGCCGCGUGUGUGAAGAAGGCCUUCGGGUUGUAAAGCACUUUCAGCGAGGAGGAAGGCGUUAAGGUUAAUAACCUUAGUGAUUGACGUUACUCGCAGAAGAAGCACCGGCUAACUCCGUGCCAGAAGCCGCGGUAAUACGGAGGGGGCAAGCGUUAAUCGGAAUUACUGGGCGUAAAGCGCACGCAGGCGGUUUGUUAAGUCAGAUGUGAAAUCCCCGAGCUUAACUUGGGAACUGCAUUUGAAACUGGCAAGCUAGAGUCUUGUAGAGGGGGGUAGAAUUCCAGGUGU
This 329-nucleotide ribosomal RNA is filed under the name uncultured bacterium. Its description in RNAcentral is "partial 16S ribosomal RNA". It matches the Rfam family "Bacterial small subunit ribosomal RNA", at positions 355 to 676 of the family's 1533-position model. The record is from RNAcentral.